This 753-nucleotide long non-coding RNA is filed under the name Marmota monax (woodchuck). Lineage: Eukaryota; Metazoa; Chordata; Mammalia; Rodentia; Sciuridae. The record is from RNAcentral.
GGAUUACCCACCCGCUUUUUGGAGCUGUCAGGGCAACUAGCUAGGAUAUGAAGUAGCAAGAUUGCGAGCUCAAGGAGAUGCUUUCUUCUGUGUGCUAGGGCCGCUUGCCAAAGAUCACAUAGUGAGAUCACAGUGAGCACGCAGUGCAGAUGGAGGUCAGUCCCAGUGGGAUCAGAUUGGGGGUGCAGAGGACACAUCAGGCAGUCUCACCUGCAAUCUCAUCGGGAGAAUCUCAGGUGAGGACACUCUGAGGCUGCUGGGCAGGCAGGAUCAAGGGACCAGCACAUGAAGAGGCCAGACUGUGGCUUAGGCAGGUGACACAAAGGGGCAGUGAGAACCAGGAUCUGCUGCUGAUUACAAUGUAACUGAAUGGCCCCGUACAGAGUGCUCCCUGUGUACCAGGCAUUUAAAGCCUCAUCUAAUCCUCAAAACCAUAACACCUGUCUACAAGGUAGGUAUUAAUAUUGGUCCCCACAGAGGACUCUGGGGUCUAGACUCAGAAAGGGUCUAAUCAAUAUCCUGGGCCUCUCUUACCUCUCACUUUCCCAGACAUAACACCCUCUGCACAAAAUGAUCCUCUACCCUAUCCCAUCUCAGAGAACCCCCACCCCAGCCCCAUUCUCCAGGCCUCAGUAUUGACACCACCUCCUUGGGAAACCCUCCCAAGCUGCCCUGCCGCCCCCCUUGUGAGGUGGCCUCUCCCUGGCACCCACCCCAGUAGCAGCCCUGUUGCCCCCACCCUAAUGGCCCUGA